This 1245-nucleotide long non-coding RNA is filed under the name Oryzias javanicus (javanese ricefish). Its description in RNAcentral is "lncRNA (ENSOJAG00000000728.1)". Lineage: Eukaryota; Metazoa; Chordata; Actinopteri; Beloniformes; Adrianichthyidae. The record is from RNAcentral.
AUGCAGGCAGAAAUGAAAGCCAGCUCCUUAACAGUGAAGGAGUGCAGCUGGACGACAGAGGAGUGCCAUCUAGUGGAGGAGCAGGGUGUAGCUGUGGAGAUGGACACAUUUUGUUUACCAAAUAUUUUCAGGUCCAGAAAAGUGAAGCCACGCAGGAAGACUCCAGUCACCCAAACAUAUCAGGUUUACUAUACAGCCAGAGAGCUCUUUCUAGAGGUCCUGGACAGAGAAGCCAUCUGGGAGCUGAUUAGGAGAGCUCCUGGAGUGAAGGCUGGAGAACAGCGGCUGUCACACGGCAGAGAGCAGAGCAGCGUUCUCUCUGAGGAGUACGCCGAGGGACUCAUGUGGUUUUCUAUAGUCCUACAAAGUGGUUUGUGUGUUGGAGAGAACUGCAGGUUCAGCCCUGAGCCGACCCAGAAGUUGGACAAAUUACAGGGUCUUCUGAAGAGAAACAGCAUCCAGAAUAAAAUUUUGUCUCUGACCGGACUGGAAGAUGGAAACAAGUUGGAAGCCUUGUCUGCUUUCUGCAGCCACAUAUUCAAACGCUACCAGGUUCUGCACUCUCCCGGGCCGAACUUGACAGUGAAGAAAUACAAUCUUUACCACCAGCAGGGUCAGUGCUCUCUCCAGCUGGCUCUCCUCUCUGACACGCGCUCUGGAUUUGUCUGUAACAUGUUCUUGUACUGUCAGCAGCAGCUCCAGAAGCAGAGCAGGAAACCUGUAGUAGAGCAGGUUGUCAGGCAACUGCUGGGACCUUUCUGCAGCCAGAAAUGGGUGGUUCACAUAGAUUCCUCAGCCUGGAUGGACGGCAGACUCAAAAGCAUCUUCUCAGGAGGAGAUAUGAAUGUUCAUUUUGUCCCAGUGACUCAAAAGGAGAUGAGGAACCCAACAUCAUCUGAAUCUCUACCAAUCUCACCUCAGCGUCUAUCAUCUGAGGACACAUUUUCUGCCCACCUGCAGGGAUGGACUGGCCCCAGUCUGGUUCCCCAUUCAGACCUAACAGGAUCCUCUGUGGACAUAUUUCUCCCGGGCCUCUGGGUUGCACUGCAUACUGUCUGCAUCAACACCUAUGUGCUCCACACGCUGCAACGCCUGCAGCUUUCAGGUAGACACAUCCAGCUGACCGAGUUCAGCCGCGCUCUGGCCUCACAGCUGACUGCCGACCACAGCAUCAGCGUGCCGGUUCUGCCACGAUUGAACAGCUGCUCCUACCAGGAGUCAACACACCCCUGCAAGGAAAGGUGA